This 440-nucleotide ribosomal RNA is filed under the name uncultured bacterium. RNAcentral describes it as "partial 16S ribosomal RNA". It matches the Rfam family "Bacterial small subunit ribosomal RNA", at positions 338 to 795 of the family's 1533-position model. The record is from RNAcentral.
CCUACGGGGGGCAGCAGUGGGGAAUAUUGCACAAUGGGGGAAACCCUGAUGCAGCGACGCCGCGUGAGCGAUGAAGUAUUUCGGUAUGUAAAGCUCUAUCAGCAGGGAAGAAAAUGACGGUACCUGACUAAGAAGCCCCGGCUAACUACGUGCCAGCAGCCGCGGUAAUACGUAGGGGGCAAGCGUUAUCCGGAUUUACUGGGGGUAAAGGGAGCGUAGAGGGCGGUGGAAGUCAGAUGUGAAAGCCCGGGGCUCAACCCCGGGACUGCAUUUGGAACUGUGCUGCUAGAGUGUCGGAGAGGCAGGCGGAAUGCCUAGUGUAGCGGUGAAAUGCGUAGAUAUUAGGAGGAACACCAGUGGCGAAGGCGGCCUGCUGGACGAUGACUGACGUUGAGGCUCGAAGGUGCGGGUAUCAAACAGGAUUAGAUACCCGAGUAGUC